RNAcentral lists this ribosomal RNA (374 nucleotides) under uncultured bacterium. RNAcentral describes it as "bacterial SSU rRNA". It matches the Rfam family "Bacterial small subunit ribosomal RNA", at positions 524 to 898 of the family's 1533-position model. The record is from RNAcentral.
UACGGGGGGUGCAAGCGUUGCUCGGAAUCACUGGGCGUAAAGCGUCCGCAGGCGGACCGAACAGUCGGUGGUGAAAGCCCAGGGCUCAACCCUGGAACUGCCAUCGAUACUGCCGGUCUUGAGUUCGGGAGAGGGAAGUGGAAUUACUGGUGUAGAGGUGAAAUUCGUAGAUAUCAGGAGGAACACCGGUUGCGAAAGCGGCUUCCUGGCCCGAAACUGACGCUCAUGGACGAAAGCGUGGGGAGCAAACAGGAUUAGAUACCCUGGUAGUCCACGCCGAAACGAUGGAUGCUAGCUGAUGGGACUUCUACCGUCUCAUUGGCGUCGCUAACGCAUUAAGCAUCCCGCCUGGGAAGUACGGCCGCAAGGCUAAA